CAGAUCUUGGUGGUAGUAGCAAGUACUCAAUUGAAAACCUUGAGCACUGAAGUUGGGGAUGGGUUCCAUGUGAACAGUAGUUGAUCGUGGGUCAGUCGGUCCUAAGCUUAUGAUGAAACAUGUGUUGAAUGUGUAUAAUAAUGUGUUAUCACUAUAAGCGAAAGGGAAUCAGGCUAACAUUCCUGAACCUGCACACCGGGAGCGCUACUUUGUAGCAGCCGUGGCAACACAAAUGCGCUCAAAAACACCAAGGCAUAGGCUAGGAAGAGUUCUCUUUUCUUUUUAAGUCACUUGUGCCCAUGGAAUGAAGUAGAUUCGAGAUAUGGGUAAGGGUGACAUAAAGCUGCUCAUAUUAGAGUAGUUUAGUUGAUUCCCUUGGUCCUUGAAAAUUUGAGCGUGAUGCUUAUCUUGGUGGCAGUCCGUACUAGUAUCCGCAGCAGGUCUCCAAGG
Molecule: ribosomal RNA, 450 nt
Filed under: Demodex canis (dog follicle mite)
Lineage: Eukaryota; Metazoa; Arthropoda; Arachnida; Trombidiformes; Demodicidae
Description: partial 28S ribosomal RNA
Rfam family: Eukaryotic large subunit ribosomal RNA
Source: RNAcentral